GUCAAUCUAGAAACAAACUAGAGAGACACAAUGAAACAAGACUCAACCCAUUGAGGAUAUAACUCAGGGGAGUAAUUCCAUCCCAAUACAUAUUCAGGGAGGAAACUGAAACAACAAUCAUCCAUGAGGACAUAACUCAAUGGGGAAUAAUGAAGGAAAGAUAGACACUUUCUGCCUAUAGGGCUGACUCUAUAUGGAGAGAUCAGACACAAACAUCUGCUUGGGAAGAACAUUUCACCAAUAGCAGGAGAUAACAA
This 257-nucleotide long non-coding RNA is filed under the name Lathyrus oleraceus (garden pea). RNAcentral's name for it is "Pisum sativum (pea) long non-coding RNA (PSAT_LNC008206)". The record is from RNAcentral. Lineage: Eukaryota; Viridiplantae; Streptophyta; Magnoliopsida; Fabales; Fabaceae.